Molecule: ribosomal RNA, 460 nt
Filed under: Pseudomonas sp. R-31815
Lineage: Bacteria; Pseudomonadati; Pseudomonadota; Gammaproteobacteria; Pseudomonadales; Pseudomonadaceae
Description: bacterial SSU rRNA
Rfam family: Bacterial small subunit ribosomal RNA
Source: RNAcentral
UUUGAUCCUGGCUCAGAUUGAACGCUGGCGGCAGGCCUAACACAUGCAAGUCGAGCGGUAGAGAGGUGCUUGCACCUCUUGAGAGCGGCGGACGGGUGAGUAAUGCCUAGGAAUCUGCCUGGUAGUGGGGGAUAACGCUCGGAAACGGACGCUAAUACCGCAUACGUCCUACGGGAGAAAGCAGGGGACCUUCGGGCCUUGCGCUAUCAGAUGAGCCUAGGUCGGAUUAGCUAGUUGGUGGGGUAAUGGCUCACCAAGGCGACGAUCCGUAACUGGUCUGAGAGGAUGAUCAGUCACACUGGAACUGAGACACGGUCCAGACUCCUACGGGAGGCAGCAGUGGGGAAUAUUGGACAAUGGGCGAAAGCCUGAUCCAGCCAUGCCGCGUGUGUGAAGAAGGUCUUCGGAUUGUAAAGCACUUUAAGUUGGGAGGAAGGGCAUUAACCUAAUACGUUAGUGU